RNAcentral lists this ribosomal RNA (443 nucleotides) under uncultured bacterium. RNAcentral's name for it is "partial 16S ribosomal RNA". It matches the Rfam family "Bacterial small subunit ribosomal RNA", at positions 338 to 795 of the family's 1533-position model. The record is from RNAcentral.
CCUACGGGUGGCUGCAGUGGGGAAUAUUGGGCAAUGGGCGCUAGCCUGACCCAGCCACGCCGCGUGAAGGAUGAAGGCUCUCGGGUUGUAAACUUCUUUUCUUAUGGGCGUAGAGAGUAACGUUAACACAGCAAUAAGCCUAGGCUAACUACGUGCCAGCAGCCGCGGUAAUACGUAGGUGGCAAGCGUAAUCCGGAUUUAUGGGGUGUAAAGGGCGUGUAGGCGGGAAAGCAAGUCAGAUGUGAAAAUUAAGGGCUCAACCCUGAGCCUGCAUUUGAUACUGGCUUCCUUGAGUGCUGGAGAGGUAAUCGGAAUUCGGGGUGUAGCGGUGAAAUGCGUAGAUAUACGGAGGAACACCAGUGGCGAAGGCGGAUUGCUGGACAGUAACUGACGCUGAGGCGCGAAAGUGUGGGGAUCAAACAGGAUUAGAUACCCGUGUAGUC